This 85-nucleotide transfer RNA is filed under the name Felis catus (domestic cat). It matches the Rfam family "tRNA". From Rfam's summary of the family: Transfer RNA (tRNA) molecules are approximately 80 nucleotides in length. Their secondary structure includes four short double-helical elements and three loops (D, anti-codon, and T loops). Lineage: Eukaryota; Metazoa; Chordata; Mammalia; Carnivora; Felidae. The record is from Rfam by way of RNAcentral.
GCCUGGGUGGCUCAGUCGGUUGAGCAUCUGACUUCAGCUCAGGUCAUGAUCUCACAGUUUGUGAGUUCAAGCCCUGUGUCAGGCU